Molecule: transfer RNA, 72 nt
Filed under: Vicugna pacos (alpaca)
Lineage: Eukaryota; Metazoa; Chordata; Mammalia; Artiodactyla; Camelidae
Also listed under: 1 other name
Rfam family: tRNA
About the family: Transfer RNA (tRNA) molecules are approximately 80 nucleotides in length. Their secondary structure includes four short double-helical elements and three loops (D, anti-codon, and T loops).
Source: Rfam by way of RNAcentral
GAGGGUAUAGCUCAGUGGUAGAGCGAAUGCUUAGCAUGCAUGAGGUCCUGGGUUCAAUCCCCAGUACUUCCU